UCUCUGUGCUGGUUCAUCGUGAAACAUUGGAUGUCGUCUUCAUGGUACUCUUCAGUGUUUUCAUGUUGGUUUUCUGGAUCUUUAAAUUAUUUGGGAUUUUUAUUUAUCAUCUGCUGCCUGUGAGCUGAACUACACCGCUAUGGGAGCCAUAAUGAGAAUGAUCUGAAGAGUGUGAAAUGAGCCACAUAUUGUUUACUGCAUUAUAGGCAGGCCAGGAGCUGUUUCCCCCUCCAAGGUCCACUGUUGAUAACAGUCUGUUAUUGUGGUCCGUUGUUUAACAGUCAAUAGAGCAGAAAGUGAUGACACCCUCCAGCUCCUGAGAUUAUGACUGAAUGACUCAGCCGGAGGUGA
Molecule: long non-coding RNA, 351 nt
Organism: Labrus mixtus (cuckoo wrasse)
Lineage: Eukaryota; Metazoa; Chordata; Actinopteri; Labriformes; Labridae
Exons: 3
Source: RefSeq, a predicted model, not a curated record